AGGACGAACGCUGGCGGCGUGCUUAACACAUGCAAGUCGAGCGGUAAGGCCUUUCGGGGUACACGAGCGGCGAACGGGUGAGUAACACGUGGGUGAUCUGCCCUGCACUUCGGGAUAAGCCUGGGAAACUGGGUCUAAUACCGGAUAUGACCUCCUAUCGCAUGGUGGGUGGUGGAAAGAUUUAUCGGUGCAGGAUGGGCCCGCGGCCUAUCAGCUUGUUGGUGGGGUAAUGGCCUACCAAGGCGACGACGGGUAGCCGACCUGAGAGGGUGACCGGCCACACUGGGACUGAGACACGGCCCAGACUCCUACGGGAGGCAGCAGUGGGGAAUAUUGCACAAUGGGCGAAAGCCUGAUGCAGCGACGCCGCGUGAGGAUGACGGCCUUCGGGUGUAAACCUCUUUCAGCAGGACGAAGCGCAAGUGACGGUACCUGCAGAAGAAGCACCGGCUAACUACGUGCCAGCAGCCGC
Molecule: ribosomal RNA, 472 nt
Filed under: uncultured soil bacterium
Lineage: Bacteria
Description: bacterial SSU rRNA
Rfam family: Bacterial small subunit ribosomal RNA
Source: RNAcentral